Molecule: ribosomal RNA, 446 nt
Filed under: uncultured Corynebacterium sp.
Lineage: Bacteria; Bacillati; Actinomycetota; Actinomycetes; Mycobacteriales; Corynebacteriaceae
Description: bacterial SSU rRNA
Rfam family: Bacterial small subunit ribosomal RNA
Source: RNAcentral
CCUACGGGUGGCUGCAGUGGGGAAUAUUGCACAAUGGGCGCAAGCCUGAUGCAGCGACGCCGCGUGGGGGAUGACGGCCUUCGGGUUGUAAACUCCUUUCGCCAGGGACGAAGCGUAAGUGACGGUACCUGGAUAAGAAGCACCGGCUAACUACGUGCCAGCAGCCGCGGUAAUACGUAGGGUGCAAGCGUUGUCCGGAAUUACUGGGCGUAAAGAGCUCGUAGGUGGUUUGUCGCGUCGUUUGUGGAAUACCGCAGCUUAACUGUGGGGUUGCAGGCGAUACGGGCAUAACUUGAGUGCUGUAGGGGAGACUGGAAUUCCUGGUGUAGCGGUGGAAUGCGCAGAUAUCAGGAGGAACACCGAUGGCGAAGGCAGGUCUCUGGGCAGUAACUGACGCUGAGGAGCGACAGCAUGGGUAGCGAACAGGAUUAGAUACCCUUGUAGUC